This 1510-nucleotide long non-coding RNA is filed under the name Brachypodium distachyon (stiff brome). Its description in RNAcentral is "long non-coding RNA (BDIS_LNC004938)". Lineage: Eukaryota; Viridiplantae; Streptophyta; Magnoliopsida; Poales; Poaceae. The record is from RNAcentral.
GUGUGGGACUCUGUUGCAGCGGAAGUACGUCACGGUCGAAGGGCUGUCCAGUGAGGUGUAUCACUGAGGGUGAAGACGUGCGUGCAGACAAGGUGGCGGGUGUCAUCUGUGUGUCUCGACGAGAAGACGGAAGCUCAAGCGUAUAGUGGGGCGGUGUACCCGUGAAGGUGAGUCUCUUCAAUGAGGACAUGUCUCUACGUGGAGCUAUGGGUUUAGCUAGCACGUAUUGCGCUAGGUGUGGACGGUGUAGUCCAUGCGGGAGCUAGCGUGACUGGGAGUCUGGAUCAUACGUUGAGUGUAGUCAACAAGUCGUGAAGCUGCGGAGAGUCAAGUUCAGGGGGAGCACGAGGAGACGGCAAGUCAAGAUUAGGGGGAGAUUGUUAGAAUAAUCUUGUUGUAUGAGUCCGUUUAGAACUGGUCUGUCCUGAGUUCGAGUAGUACCACUAGUACGAGUCUAAUUAGCUUUGCACAUUAAGUCCUAGUCCUAUUAGGAUUAGGUGAUUUUGGGUGUAUAUAUAGAUGCACUAGGGUCAGCUUUUGUAACGUGGGAUUUGAGAUAUUGAGAAGAAAUAAAAAUAUCGUGCCUCUAGCCAAAUAAAUUCUCGAUCGUGUGCGUCUUUAUGUGACUGAUCUUUGGGCAAACCCAACAGACACAUCCGUAUUUGAGCAAAUUUGAGACAACUAAUACCGGUCGGAAAAAGUAGUAUAUAUUAAAUCCGAUGUGUAAAACGUUUCAUGUGCGACUAUUCAAGAAUAUAAGAAAGAGCCAAAAAUAUUGCUUAGUUACUUACAAUAUAUAGGUUAUUUGGUAAUUUGGAAUUGGGGGAAUUGCGCCUGCCGUACAGCAUUGGCUAGGCAUAAUGCAAUGUAUACAAGAGGAAAGGAAGAGAAAAAAAAAAUAGGAAAGCACUAAAAUAGAAGAGGAAAAAAAGAAGGAAAAUCCAACAGAAGCCGAAGCGGGAGCAGAUACGUACUCCUAGUUUCCUUUUUUUCUCCCUAUUUUCCUUUUUUAAUAUAGCUUUUAUAGUACAAUAAAGAGUACCACAGGUUUUGAGGCAGACUUUUCAAUGAGCCCCCAUUUUUGCUAAUUUGUUCAUAAAAUCACACGUUUUGUGUCCAAUUGUCUCACAUCACCCAAAACAACGGUUUAAACGCAUUUGACAGUAUUUCUUACAUGUGGGUCCCGCAUGUAAGGCAUCACGUCUUUUUCAUUAGACCCCUUGUCUUUUUCUUUUUUUCCUCGUCCCCUCGUCUUCUUCUGCCUUGAGCAUCUUUUUUAACUGGCCAUGGGAAUUUACCCGAUGCAGCGCAGCCACCGCAAGCAACAGACGCACAAACACGCACGAACCCCCUUCUCUCUCUCGAUCGAUUCAUCCGGCUACUCAGUGGCGUGCGUUGCCAUGUAGAGAGUCUAUGAGACCAUCCUAGCUAGAGGUGCAUGGCCAUGGCCCUCCCUUGCAAUUGCACACGUACAGAUCGACCGGUGGUCCUUGACGAGAAAAUCCAAGCA